Molecule: ribosomal RNA, 465 nt
Filed under: uncultured bacterium
Lineage: Bacteria
Description: partial 16S ribosomal RNA
Rfam family: Bacterial small subunit ribosomal RNA
Source: RNAcentral
GACGAACGCUGGCGGCGUGCUUAACACAUGCAAGUCGAACGGAAAGGCCCCUUUGGGGGUACUCGAGUGGCGAACGGGUGAGUAACACGUGAGUAACCUGCCCUUGACUUCGGGAUAACCUCAGGAAACUGGGGCCAAUACCGGAUAGGAAUCCUUGCGGCAUGGUGGGGGUUGGAAAGCUUCGGCGGUUUUGGAUGGACUCGCGGCUUAUCAGCUUGUUGGUGGGGUAGUGGCUUACCAAGGCUUUGACGGGUAGCCGGCCUGAGAGGGCGACCGGCCACAUUGGGACUGAGAUACGGCCCAGACGCCUACGGGUGGCAGCAGUGGGGAAUCUUGCACCAUGGGCGGAAGCCGGAUGCAGCAGCGCCGCGUGCGGGAUAACGGCCUUCGGGUUGUAAACCGCUUUCAGCAGGGGCGAUGCUUGUGGUGACGGUACCUGCAGAAGAAGCACCGGCUAACUACGUG